RNAcentral lists this transfer RNA (72 nucleotides) under Plutella xylostella (diamondback moth). RNAcentral describes it as "tRNA-Glu". It matches the Rfam family "tRNA". From Rfam's summary of the family: Transfer RNA (tRNA) molecules are approximately 80 nucleotides in length. The record is from RNAcentral. Lineage: Eukaryota; Metazoa; Arthropoda; Insecta; Lepidoptera; Plutellidae.
GCCGCGGUAGCUCAGUCGGGUAAGUGCCAGCUUCUCGUGAUAGUGAUGCGGGUUCGAAUCCUGCCCGUGACA